UACGGGGGGAGCAAGCGUUGUUCGGGUUUACUGGGCGUAAAGGGCGCGUAGGCGGCGCAACAAGUCACUUGUGAAAUCUCCGGGCUUAACUCGGAACGGUCAAGUGAUACUGUCGGGCUAGAGUACAGAAGGGGCAACUGGAAUUCUCGGUGUAGCGGUGAAAUGCGUAGAUAUCGGGAGGAACACCAGUGGCGAAGGCGGCGAUCUGGGAAGAUACUGACGCUGAGGUGCGAAAGCGUGGGGAGCAAACAGG
RNAcentral lists this ribosomal RNA (253 nucleotides) under uncultured prokaryote. Its description in RNAcentral is "partial 16S ribosomal RNA". It matches the Rfam family "Bacterial small subunit ribosomal RNA", at positions 524 to 776 of the family's 1533-position model. The record is from RNAcentral.